GAAGUGAUUUUUAACUAAUUUUGCCUUGUUUUGGGCGCUUUUUAGAGAUCUUUUAAACGCAAAAUUGCUUGCUGGGCAAACACUUGUGUUAUACUAUUUAUCAACAGACAAUCAGUUUAUAAAAGUGUCUGCAACCAAUUACGGGCGUACAAACAGCACAGCCUGCUCUACUGGAAAACCAGCUGACCAGAUCUCAAAUGUUCAGUGCACUCAGAGUUCAUCCCUAAGUGUGCUGGCCACUCAAUGUGAUGGACUAAAAGAUUGUUCUGUUCCUGCAAGUACCACAGUUUUUGGUGAUCCUUGUGCAGGAACCUACAAAUACCUGAAUGUGUCCUACACCUGUGGCCCAGACCCAGCCAAUUUAACCUAGAAGAGAAAAUAUCGACACAUCAGAAAUCAUCUCUGUGACCAGAGUGAGGUGGAAAUCUUCUGGUUUAUUUAUUCCUCUGUUUUUUCAUGAGAUUUAAUAAUUAAAUUUAAUAAAUGUAAUUUUGUAUUAGAACGAACAUGUUUAUACCAUUGUGUAAUAUCUUAAAUCAGUGGAAGUUUGUCAUAGUUGCUUUUAAUCACU
This is a long non-coding RNA of Paramisgurnus dabryanus, 571 nucleotides long. RefSeq lists it as uncharacterized. The record is from RefSeq and is a predicted model, not a curated record. NCBI's taxonomy places the organism in Eukaryota, Metazoa, Chordata, Actinopteri, Cypriniformes, Cobitidae.